Molecule: non-coding RNA, 90 nt
Organism: Triticum aestivum (bread wheat)
Lineage: Eukaryota; Viridiplantae; Streptophyta; Magnoliopsida; Poales; Poaceae
Source: Rfam
UUUGCUUUGGUGAGUCGUAACUCAUAAUAAGCCCAACCGUUCAAUUGGUCCUUCAGUGAAAUACUAAUUUACGCAUGGCUUCUCAUCUGU